CACUGCCCGUCGCUCUUACCGAUUGAAUGGUCCAGUGAAUCGUUCGGAUAGCAGCGACGUGGGCGGUUCACCGCCGUGACAUCGCGAGAAGUCCAUUGAACCUUAUCAUUUAUAGGAAGGAGAAGUCUUAAUAAGGUUUCUGUAGGUGAACCUGCGAAAG
This 160-nucleotide non-coding RNA is filed under the name Cephalotus follicularis. RNAcentral's name for it is "Eukaryotic small subunit ribosomal RNA". It matches the Rfam family "Eukaryotic small subunit ribosomal RNA", at positions 1667 to 1823 of the family's 1831-position model. The record is from Rfam by way of RNAcentral. Lineage: Eukaryota; Viridiplantae; Streptophyta; Magnoliopsida; Oxalidales; Cephalotaceae.